Long non-coding RNA from Passer domesticus (house sparrow), 3408 nucleotides. RefSeq lists it as uncharacterized. The transcript is spliced from 3 exons. The record is from RefSeq and is a predicted model, not a curated record. NCBI's taxonomy places the organism in Eukaryota, Metazoa, Chordata, Aves, Passeriformes, Passeridae.
GGAUCGCUGCUUCCCCUCCUGGAGCUGCGGGACACGCUGGGCUGCAGCGUGGAAAUCGCCCCCGAAUCUCCCAAAUCCAAGCCUAACUCCCCCUGCUCCGUGUGUCGGGAGCCGGGGCAGGAUGGUGUGGGCAGCUCCAACCUCCCCUGAGCGGCCCCGCACUCCUGCAGCCCUUCCCGCACAUAAACAAGUGUCAAAGACCUGUCUGCUCGCUGUGCCCUGCGAGAGCGCUGCCCUGCACCGAGCAUCCCCCUCCUCCUUCACUUUCCCUGCCAUCCCUCUGGCAGCAGGUUUUGUCUUUUUUUAAAAAACCCAGGUGCCAAACCUGUGUGAAAUUACUGAUAUUCACUGAAAUCUGGCUGAGAAGCACUCAGUGCUCCCCUUCUGUACGGGAGGUCACGGUCAGUUUUGUGGCACCAUCACCCCCCAGCCGCUGCCUCACCUGCAGGUGGCUGGGGCUGCUCACCGACACAGAAGGGCUGUUAAAGGCGUGUUGAGCUUCAUUUACUCAAGGGUAGAAUUAAUUUGUUUGAACUAUUUAUUUCAGAUAAAAUAAUCCCUUUAAAGGCUGCUGCUACUCUGUCAUUUUAGGCAUGUCCAUGUCCACCUGCCUUCACUUUGCUUUGGUCUGUGUGGAACUGCAGAAUGUGACAAAAUGGCAUUUGCAAAAAGAACAAGUAAACACAGGCUUAAUGAACUCACUUAUUUUGCUUCCUGUACUUAUGACUCAUAAAAUGAAAAUCCUUUAAUGUUGUAACCCAAAUAAAUUGCCAUGUUGGUUGCCUCUCGACUGUACUGCAAGUAGGGAACAAGAAGGGCUGAGAGUGAGGGAUCAGGAAAAGGUAAGGAUGUGCUCAGCUCUGAUUAAGUAACAUUAUCCUGCUUCUUUUGCUUUUGAAGGGUGGAAAAGCAAGAGGUGAUGUCUAAUGCUCCCGGGCAGCAAACAAUGGGUGGGGAACGCUGAGCUGGGUGCAGCACUUGGCAGUCUUUGGGGUGCAGUGAUGAGGUGCCAGUGCUUGAUGGUAUGGAUAGAAGGGGACACGCCUCAGCCUUGUGACACGUGGGGUUAAUGGGGCAGAGCCACACCAUGUCCCUCUGAGGGGACCUGGGUGGCACUGCCACAGCAGUGUCACAUCCCAGCUCUGGGCAGGAGAGGUUCCCUUCCUGGGCCAUCCAAUCCCUCAGCUGUUACAGCUCCUCAUAACCCACAUUUUGUGAACAACCACAACUCCCACAGUGAUGUCCAUUUCAGCCCAUUCCACACAGAAGCGGAAAAAUUUCUUCCUGAGAAGGAAUUAAUGCAAGAGAAGUGGAGAUCAGUAAAUGACUACAAUAAAAAUACCCUUCAGCUUUCCUUUUUAUUCUUCCAUAUUUUUCCAGCAGCUGCUUAAAAACUGGUAUUCAGCAAUAAAAUGACCUGAUAACAUUUAGGUCUUUGAGACAUAGAUAUUUUAUUUACUGAAAAAGUGUUACUAAACCACUUUACAAAAACAUUCACCAGGCUUUGCAGCACUUCCAGGAAAAUACAUACAAUUCCUCUUCUCUUUAUGCAAUCAUUGUUUGCUCCUGUUCAAGCUGACAGAUGGUAUGAAAGUUUUGCACUUGACAUCCAUAAUUGUCUUUCCCACAGGCGUGUGCUCAUCGAUGAUGUGCUCAUUGCAUCACCUCCUGACUUGGAACAUUUUUUUAAAAAGCUGUUUCACAUAUGAAAUCCUGGGAAAGACCUGUCUAAAGCACUGUGUCCAAGGAUGAAAAAUAAAUGAAAGCUCCAGUGGUGCCGUUACCCAGCAGAGCUGAUGGAUUGCACUCUCCUGUGGCUGCUUUCAGCUGCUGUGUCUCGUGAACCAUGCUGCUAAUUUCACAUCUCAGUUACUGCAAAAAUGCUAAAUAAAGGUUUUGUUGUUGUUGUUUUUUCCAUUUUAUCCCUAAAAAUGUGUGAUUAUUCACAUGGCAAAAAUGAUAAAUCUAAAGAUUUGAAAAAGUGAAGAAGUGAUGGCUUCAAGUCAGCAUCAUGCACACACAACUUUCAUUUAAGUCUUGCUUAGCUGAGGAAGUACUUCCAGCAGAAAUAUUAAUUUAAGAUUUUCCUAACUUUCAUGACCAGCCUCAUCCUGAAGUUGAUUUACUUUUGCUGAGUAAUACAGGAUUUGUCUUUAAUUCUUGAAAUAAUAGGAAACAGAAAGAAGGCUUACUUAAAAAAAACUACACCUAAAAUGAAUUUUUUGUGUGGUUCAGAUAUUUCUAUUAAAUUGGUUGUGCUAUGUUCCCUUCCAGGAAUUUUACAUCAACAAAAUAUGGCACCAAAAUCACUAAGCAGGGUAAAAAUCCAGAAAGAUUCCUUUGGAAAAGGUGUAUUUAAUGCAGCUGUAACACAGGGUGGAGAUGAAUAAAACACUACACAACUAUUAAAAUAAAUAUAUGCUAAAAUACCAUACCUGUUUUUAUGAAACUCUGAAUCAAAAUCAAUCAUUAAGGCCAACUGGAAAAAAACAAAGUUAAAUAGAAUUCAUUGAUUGUUAAGUCAACAAAAAUCUGAAGAAAGAUACAGAUAAAACAUUUGAAGAUCUUUAUUUUGUUUUUCUGUCCUUUUAAUCUUGCAUUUCUUUAUUUCAACAAAAAAAAAAAAAGGCAAAAAUUCUUGGGAAAGAACCUGUUUUUAAAAAGUUUCUAUUUAGAAGAGCUUGAGAAGUUGUUUAUUGCAUGACGACUCAUUCCCACAAUCUGUGAGUGCACUGCCACGUGCAAACCUCUUGUCUUCUCAAAAUCUGCUAAAGUUCUACAAAUCCUAAUUUCUAAACCAGGAAUAGAAGCAUCAGUGAAGAACAGCUCUGCAAAUUCUUCUACUUCCACUAGAGGAUGUUUCACUGGUCACCUUCAAAGGGCUCCCACAGCUCAGAGUGGCACAGAGGAUGAUGGUAAGUGGGUACUUACCUACCAAAAAAAAAAAAAUUGGUGAAGAUGCGCAUCCUGAAAUUACAGCCCUCCAGAAAGAGGUCAUAGUUGACUAUUCCCACAAAAUAAUUCAAGAAUGUCCUAAAAUUUGUAGAAAACAGAAGCAAACAUAGUGUUUAGUUUAACUGACAGCUGAGCAUUAGCUUGGCCAGGCUUUCCAGAACACACUACAAUCUCCUGGAAAGGCUGGAAAUGCACCAAGUUCAGGGCACAAUGGAAUAUCCACAGGUGAUUGUCAAAGUGUAACUGCAAUUCAAACACUGGGAAGGUCACGUGUGGCAAAGGAUCCUUCAGGGCUGGAAACUGAGACACACAAACAGAGGACAAGGAGUAACUGGGCAGUACUUACUCGGUGCUGGGCUGAGGGGUCCGGGGCUCCCUGCCCGUGGCCACGAGGCACUGCCAGCUCCUGGGGGUUCCACGGAGCAGCCCAGGACUUGACCCUGGAAAGGACAA